This is a long non-coding RNA of Salvia splendens (bonfire salvia), 614 nucleotides long. RefSeq lists it as uncharacterized. The transcript has 2 exons. NCBI's taxonomy places the organism in Eukaryota, Viridiplantae, Streptophyta, Magnoliopsida, Lamiales, Lamiaceae. The record is from RefSeq and is a predicted model, not a curated record.
AUUUCCCAAAUUGAUUCGACCCUGUGUUUUUCGGCAACUGAGUAUCCUAUGUGGCAUGCCCGAAUGUUGACGUGGAUAGCAUCGGAAAAUCGUAAAACGAUGUCGUUUCUAACACCUAAAACAAAACUACGUCGUUUUACGAUUUAUCACCGCCAAUUCCAAAUCCAACCAAACCCUAAUUUUUCCAUCAGAGAUCCAAUCGGCAGCUUCGGCUGCUGCCCUGCCUCCAACAUCGCCGCCCAGCAUCGCCACCAGCUCCUCUUCCUCCGCCAGCCCAAUCAUUUCUACUACAACACUCUCAAGCCUUCCAUCUAUACCUACUUCUCUCUCUACCGGAAACCGGUCUCCCUUCCCUUUAAGGUCAAUCAUUGUUAUCCAUGUCAGCCGCCACGAGACGCCUCAUCAAUAAAAUACGACACGUCAGCUCGCUCUUUCGCCUGAAAAACUAUCAUGGAAAUCGGAGACUAAAUGCAAAGUUGGUGACUUUAUACGCCAAUUUUAAAGAUAGUGGGAAAAACUGGUAUUCGGGCAAAGUUGGUGACUUUUAAUGCAGAUAUCCUUUAAUAUUUCAAUUGGGUAUUUGAUAAGUUUGUAUUGUCAUAUUUAAAUUUAAA